RNAcentral lists this ribosomal RNA (304 nucleotides) under uncultured bacterium. RNAcentral's name for it is "partial 16S ribosomal RNA". It matches the Rfam family "Bacterial small subunit ribosomal RNA", at positions 509 to 807 of the family's 1533-position model. The record is from RNAcentral.
CAGCAGUCGCCGCGGGAACACGUAGGGUGCAAGCGUUAAUCGGAAUUACUGGGCGUAAAGCGUGCGCAGGCGGUUUGUUAAGACAGAUGUGAAAUCCCCGGGCUCAACCUGGGAACUGCAUUUGUGACUGGCAAGCUAGAGUGUGGCAGAGGGGGGUGGAAUUCCGCGUGUAGCAGUGAAAUGCGUAGAUAUGCGGAGGAACACCGAUGGCGAAGGCAGCCCCCUGGGCCAACACUGACGCUCAUGCACGAAAGCGUGGGGAGCAAACAGGAUUAGAUACCCCCGUAGUCCCUGUCUCUUAUAC